Molecule: long non-coding RNA, 614 nt
Organism: Quercus lobata
Lineage: Eukaryota; Viridiplantae; Streptophyta; Magnoliopsida; Fagales; Fagaceae
Exons: 4
Source: RefSeq, a predicted model, not a curated record
GAACUUUCAGUUUUGGAAGGUAGAUUAGAAUUUAGAGCACUCAUGCAGAAUACCAUUACAGCAAAUUUUUAACUAAACUCAAGUAAAACUAUCCCGCGUUUAUCUCCAGUCCUUUAAAAUUAUAAACCACUCUUUUCUCGAACCCCAUUUCAGGUGCCUGUGGUCCUCUACUUGUUUUGAAGUGAUUCUGGCAGUCUGAUAUAUAAAGUCUCUAGAAUGGGGGUGCAAGUUAGUGUGAUUGUUCAGUUUAAAUACUUGGAUACACUAUGGUUAAGAAAAGAGAUCAGGUGGGACAACCAUUGAAGAUAUUUAUCAAUACCAGGGAAUGGAUUUGCGAAUGUCAGUGACUCGAACUUCACAGAGCUCUUACAAAAAGAUUCUAACAUGAAUAAUGAAUUCAUAAUGGAAUCCCUACAAAAUGAAGUACAUACCCAACAGUCUCCUCCUGAAGUUCAGAUAAUUGUUAAGAAGACACAACAGAGUGGUAAUUUCAUGGUAGGAGAAGACUGUCUCAUUGUAUUGACAUUGCUCAAUAUUUCCAUGGAUGCAAUGCAAGGAAAUGAGCAAGUGCACAAAACAUAUUGGAAUAGAGUUUGGAACUACUUCCAUAAAGA